RNAcentral lists this ribosomal RNA (376 nucleotides) under Amynthas purpuratus. RNAcentral's name for it is "partial 16S ribosomal RNA". It matches the Rfam family "Bacterial large subunit ribosomal RNA", at positions 1926 to 2541 of the family's 2925-position model. Lineage: Eukaryota; Metazoa; Annelida; Clitellata; Crassiclitellata; Megascolecidae. The record is from RNAcentral.
AACGGCCGCGGUAUCCUAACCGUGCAAAGGUAGCAUAAUAACUUGCCUAUUAAUUGUAGGCUAGUAUGAAAGGGUUAACGAAAUAAAAACUGUCUCAAUUAACCAUCUAAAAACUAUUCUCCACUUGAAGAAAAGUGGAUCCUCUCGAAGGACAAGAAGACCCUAUAGAGCUUUAUUUUAAUUAUAGAUCUCAAACUAUAAAAAUAUUCGGUUGGGGCGACCCAGGGCUAAUUAAUCACCCACAAAAAUAAAGAUAAAUAAAUCAAAUUAAUGACCCUCAUAGAUCAAAAGACUAAGCUACCUUAGGGAUAACAGGCUAAUCCCACUUAAGAGUCCUUAUCAACAGUGGGGUUUGGCACCUCGAUGUUGGCUUAGG